Molecule: ribosomal RNA, 761 nt
Filed under: Prevotella melaninogenica
Lineage: Bacteria; Pseudomonadati; Bacteroidota; Bacteroidia; Bacteroidales; Prevotellaceae
Description: bacterial SSU rRNA
Rfam family: Bacterial small subunit ribosomal RNA
Source: RNAcentral
GAUGGACGCUAGCUACAGGCUUAACACAUGCAAGUCGAGGGGAAACGGCAUUGAGUGCUUGCACUCUUUGGACGUCGACCGGCGCACGGGUGAGUAACGCGUAUCCAACCUUCCCAUUACUGUGGGAUAACCUGCCGAAAGGCAGACUAAUACCGCAUAGUCUUCGAUGACGGCAUCAGAUUUGAAGUAAAGAUUUAUCGGUAAUGGAUGGGGAUGCGUCUGAUUAGCUUGUUGGCGGGGUAACGGCCCACCAAGGCGACGAUCAGUAGGGGUUCUGAGAGGAAGGUCCCCCACAUUGGAACUGAGACACGGUCCAAACUCCUACGGGAGGCAGCAGUGAGGAAUAUUGGUCAAUGGACGGAAGUCUGAACCAGCCAAGUAGCGUGCAGGAUGACGGCCCUAUGGGUUGUAAACUGCUUUUGUAUGGGGAUAAAGUUAGGGACGUGUCCCUAUUUGCAGGUACCAUACGAAUAAGGACCGGCUAAUUCCGUGCCAGCAGCCGCGGUAAUACGGAAGGUCCAGGCGUUAUCCGGAUUUAUUGGGUUUAAAGGGAGCGUAGGCUGGAGAUUAAGUGUGUUGUGAAAUGUAGACGCUCAACGUCUGAAUUGCAGCGCAUACUGGUUUCCUUGAGUACGCACAACGUUGGCGGAAUUCGUCGUGUAGCGGUGAAAUGCUUAGAUAUGACGAAGAACUCCGAUUGCGAAGGCAGCUGACGGGAGCGCAACUGACGCUUAAGCUCGAAGGUGCGGGUAUCAAACAGG